AGAUGGUGGAGAGUAAAAUGUCAUCGGUACCGAUGGACGCACAUCGUUACCCGUCAAGCACGCCGACGACGACGGCGACGUUUCUCGCGCACUCCGUCAGGCUCGACGUUCCAAGACGGCGCUGCCUCGCGGAUGACCAUAUAUGACGCGAUAUAUUGCGUCCACAACACGAGAUCGAGAUUUCGGGAAGGAAAACGAAAGAGGGACAAAAUGCCAACAACAAAUGCUUAGGGAGAGACUCGCUCGUCCUUCGCGAGACGAGCCCGGAUGAAAAAAAAAAAAAUUGGGAGAAAUUAUAACAGCAGGCGACAAAGAGAGAGAGAGAGAGAGACGCACUUACUUGAAUGAAUUGUAUCGUGAUUGCCGAUUUCCCGACACCGCCGCCACCGACGACGACGAGCUUGGAAACGACUAGAAAAAGAUUAUAUUCGAGUAGUGACUGUGGUGUUCCGACGAAUAAAAGUAUCCAGUUAAUUUAUUUCGCAUAAAAUAUACAAGAGACGUCGAGAAAGUUUGGAGACUGAAUGGAUUAUCAUAAAAUAAAGUUCAAAAGAAAUUGUGACUUUCAAAGCUCUUCAAACAUAAUUUUGAGUCAGGAUAAUUUAUACAUAUAUAUACAAUUAUAUUCAUUAUUUCAAAUGUCUUAAAUUCUUCCUUUUCGUGAAAAAAAAUUUAAUCGAGUUUUGAAGGACGACAAGGAUGAAAGGGUUUGGCUAAAUUAAACAACUUAUUGUUUUCGCCCAAAGCAGAUAGCUUUAACAAAUGUAUUGAACGCAACUCUACAAAACCCACGUUUUCUCGAUUAUCGGACUAGAUGUCUUAUCAUAACAUUGAGCUCAACAAGGAAUCACUUCGAGGGAGACAAGCCAAGACACAUAUUUUUCGAUAUUUUUUUAUAAUUCUUCUUUAUUUUGUUUAAUUCACUCAGCCCUCCGCAACAUUUUGGACACACCUUGUAUAUUCGAUCAAACUUGAACUUGCGUCUUUUUUGUCCGAUAUUGCACUUACGAAGAAAUUUUACGUAUCGCGUUGCAAUGUUGUUACACGAUUGUUUCGUCUAUAAUUUAAUUUUUCAACACAUAUGUCGUAAAAGUUACACACGAAAUGAGCAGAAAAAAUUUUGUGUAGAAAAUCUCCUAUACGCACACUUAGCAAAUAUAUCUUUUUUUUUUUUCAUUGCUCAAUUAAGGCACCGGUGUACCUAACUUAGAUUGAAGAAAUCGCGUUGCUCUCUGCAUUCUCGCACAGUUUUGUAAAAAAUACUUGAAAAAUAAUUCAAAAAACCGACAGUAAACCGUCAGAAUCUGAUUUAUGAA
Long non-coding RNA from Nylanderia fulva, 1316 nucleotides. RefSeq lists it as uncharacterized. NCBI's taxonomy places the organism in Eukaryota, Metazoa, Arthropoda, Insecta, Hymenoptera, Formicidae. The record is from RefSeq and is a predicted model, not a curated record.